Molecule: ribosomal RNA, 499 nt
Filed under: uncultured Glomeraceae
Lineage: Eukaryota; Fungi; Glomeromycota; Glomeromycetes; Glomerales; Glomeraceae
Description: SSU rRNA
Rfam family: Eukaryotic small subunit ribosomal RNA
Source: RNAcentral
AGCAGCCGCGGUAAUUCCAGCUCCAAUAGCGUAUAUUAAAGUUGCUGCAGUUAAAAAGCUCGUAGUUGAAUUUCGGGACCAAUAUGUCGGUCGUGCCUCGGUACGUACUGGCAUCGUUGGUUUCUCCCUUCUGACGAACCAUGAUGUCAUUCAUUUGGUGUCGUGGGGAAUCAGGACUGUUACUUUGAAAAAAUUAGAGUGUUUAAAGCAGGCUCACGCUUGAAUACAUUAGCAUGGAAUAAUGAAAUAGGACGUUUGAUUCUAUUUUGUUGGUUUCUAGGAUCGACGUAAUGAUUAAUAGGGAUAGUUGGGGGCAUUAGUAUUCAAUUGUCAGAGGUGAAAUUCUUGGAUUUAUUGAAGACUAACUACUGCGAAAGCAUUUGCCAAGGAUGUUUUCAUUAAUCAAGAACGAAAGUUAGAGGUUCGAAGGCGAUCAGGUACCGCCCUAGUUCUAACCAUAAACGAUGCCAACCAGCAAUCAGCCUGAGUUGUCUUUUGA